This 550-nucleotide small RNA is filed under the name Pongo abelii (Sumatran orangutan). Its description in RNAcentral is "retained intron". Lineage: Eukaryota; Metazoa; Chordata; Mammalia; Primates; Hominidae. The record is from RNAcentral.
AUGACUGUAAUCCCAGAUCUUUGGGAGGCCGAGGUGUGUGGAUCACCUGAGGUCAGGAGUUCGAGACCAGCCUGGCCAACAUGAUAUUAACUCCACAAAAAUUGGAAUUGCUAAGAGCCCAAAUACAACAAGAAUUAGAAACUCCAAUGAGAGAACGUUUUAGGAAUCUAGAUGAAGUAAGUAACUUACGUUGUUUACUAUGUAUUUAUCCUCAUGGGAUCAAAGUCUUGAUGAAAAGCAUCAUUCCCCUACCCCAAAACCCUGCAGUAGUUCCCCCUUUUACUCAGUCAUUACAGUGGCCUCUAAAGCUUCACAGGAUUGAACUCCCAUUACAUCUCUGAUCUCCUUUCCUUUUUCCACAUUGGCCUAUUGAUGUUUCUUUGGCACUCCAGAAUUGGUGCAUUUCUUUAUUUUUAUUUUUAAUUUUUUUGAGACAGAGUCUGGCUCUGUUGCCCAGCUUGGAGUGCAGUGGUGUGAUCUCGGCUCACUUCAACCUCCGCCUCUCCGGUUCAAGCGAUUCUCUUGCUUCAGCCUCCCAAGUAGCUGGGAU